GACGGAGGAUGCAAGUGUUAUCCGGAAUCACUGGGCGUAAAGCGUCUGUAGGUGGUUCAAUAAGUCAACUGUUAAAUCUUGAGGCUCAACUUCAAAAUCGCAGUCGAAACUAUUGGACUCGAGUAUAGUAGGGGUAAAGGGAAUUUCCAGUGGAGCGGUGAAAUGCGUAGAGAUUGGAAAGAACACCAAUGGCGAAAGCACUUUACUGGGCUAUUACUGACACUGAGAGACGAAGGCUAGGGUAGCAAAUGGG
RNAcentral lists this ribosomal RNA (253 nucleotides) under uncultured bacterium. RNAcentral's name for it is "partial 16S ribosomal RNA". It matches the Rfam family "Bacterial small subunit ribosomal RNA", at positions 524 to 776 of the family's 1533-position model. The record is from RNAcentral.